Molecule: ribosomal RNA, 481 nt
Filed under: uncultured bacterium
Lineage: Bacteria
Description: partial 16S ribosomal RNA
Rfam family: Bacterial small subunit ribosomal RNA
Source: RNAcentral
GAUGAACGCUGGCGGCGUGCUUAACACAUGCAAGUCGAACGAAGCAUUUAGGACAGAUUACUUCGGUUUGAAGUUCUUUAUGACUGAGUGGCGGACGGGUGAGUAACGCGUGGGUAACCUGCCUUGUACUGGGGGAUAGCAGCUGGAAACGGCUGGUAAUACCGCAUAAGCGCACAAUGUUGCAUGACAUGGUGUGAAAAACUCCGGUGGUAUAAGAUGGACCCGCGUCUGAUUAGCUAGUUGGUGAGAUAACAGCCCACCAAGGCGACGAUCAGUAGCCGACGUGGGAGGGUGGCCGGCCACAUUGGGACUGAGACACGGCCCAGACUCCGACGGGAGGCAGCAGGGGGGAAUAUUGCAGAAUGGAGGAAAGUCUGAUGAAGCGACGCCGCGGGAGUGAAGAAGUAAUUCGUUAUGUAAAGCUCUAUCAGCAGGGAAGAUAGUGACGGUACCUGACGAAGAAGCUCCGGCUAAAUACGUG